UACGUAGGGACCUAGCGUUGUCCGGAAUCAUUGGGCGUAAAGAGCUCGUAGGCGGCUUGUCACGUCGACUGUGAAAACCCGGGGCUCAACUCCGGGCCUGCAGUCGAUACGGGCUGGCUUGAGUGCGGUAGGGGAGACUGGAAUUCCUGGUGUAGCGGUGAAAUGUGUAGAGAUCGGGAGGAACACCGGUGGCGAAGGCGGGUCUCUGGGCAAUUCCUGACGCUGAGGCGCGAAAGCGUGGGGAGCAAACGGG
Molecule: ribosomal RNA, 253 nt
Filed under: uncultured bacterium
Lineage: Bacteria
Description: partial 16S ribosomal RNA
Rfam family: Bacterial small subunit ribosomal RNA
Source: RNAcentral